RNAcentral lists this non-coding RNA (163 nucleotides) under Cellulosilyticum lentocellum. RNAcentral's name for it is "Clostridium lentocellum GlcN6P sequence". It matches the Rfam family "glmS glucosamine-6-phosphate activated ribozyme aptamer". Rfam says of the family: This entry contains a glucosamine-6-phosphate activated ribozyme that is found in the mRNA for GlmS. GlmS is an enzyme that uses fructose-6-phosphate and glutamine to generate glucosamine-6-phosphate. RNAcentral also lists the same sequence under 1 other name. The record is from RNAcentral. Lineage: Bacteria; Bacillati; Bacillota; Clostridia; Lachnospirales; Cellulosilyticaceae.
AGAAAAUAAAAAGCGCCAGAACUUGACAGUUACGUGAAAAAUGUUAAGUUGACGAGGACUAGAGUGAUCGAAAAUUCGGCGGAUGCUCUAGAGGGUUCACACCCUAAAUAAGCCAACAAAACUAAAAAGUGAUUUUUAGGACAAAGGGUUUAUCGUGAAUUUC